AACGAACGCUGGCGGCAUGCCUAACACAUGCAAGUCGAACGAGACCUUCGGGUCUAGUGGCGCACGGGUGCGCAACGCGUGGGAACCUGCCCUUAGGUUCGGAAUAACUCCCCGAAAGGGGUGCUAAUACCGGAUAAUGUCUUCGGACCAAAGAUUUAUCGCCUUUGGAUGGGCCCGCGUUGGAUUAGCUAGUUGGUAGGGUAAAAGCCUACCAAGGCGACGAUCCAUAGCUGGUCUGAGAGGAUGAUCAGCCACACUGGGACUGAGACACGGCCCAGACUCCUACGGGAGGCAGCAGUGGGGAAUAUUGGACAAUGGGCGAAAGCCUGAUCCAGCAAUGCCGCGUGAGUGAUGAAGGCCUUAGGGUUGUAAAGCUCUUUUACCCGGGAUGAUAAUGACAGUACCGGGAGAAUAAGCUCCGACUAACUCCGUG
RNAcentral lists this ribosomal RNA (433 nucleotides) under uncultured bacterium. RNAcentral's name for it is "partial 16S ribosomal RNA". It matches the Rfam family "Bacterial small subunit ribosomal RNA", at positions 29 to 507 of the family's 1533-position model. The record is from RNAcentral.